Molecule: non-coding RNA, 951 nt
Filed under: Stegobium paniceum (drugstore beetle)
Lineage: Eukaryota; Metazoa; Arthropoda; Insecta; Coleoptera; Ptinidae
Source: RNAcentral
AAAAUUUACAACUAAAGUUUUAUCUUGGCUGCAAGAUAACGUGCCUUUUGGGGGGAUGAGGCAAUGGGUAGGGGAUGUUCAUGAAAUGUUUAUCAUAAAAAAUUUACAACUAAAGUUUUAUCUUGGCUGCAAGAUAACGUGCCUUUUGGGGGAUGAGGCAAUGGGUAGGGGAUGUUCAUGAAAUGUUUAUCAUAAAAAAUUUACAACUAAAGUUUUAUCUUGGCUUAGAAAUUAAGUUUUAAUUUAUUUAUAUAUAUAAAUUUUUGUUAAUAAAUUUUAUGGAUUUAGUAUAUAGUUUUAUUUAAGAAGUAAUUUUUUGAUUAGGUAUAAUAUUUAAUACUAACAAAAUUUGUGCCAGCAGUUGCGGUUAAACAAAUAGUGUUAUUUAAUUUUAUUAAAUUGAAAUUAAAAUUUUUAAAUAAAAAUUUGUAAAAUUUAUUAGGUGAAAUUAAAAAUUUUUAUAAAUAUUUAUUUAUUGAUUUUGAAGUUUUGAAAUUUUUAUAUAAACUAGGAUUAGAUACCCUAUUAUUUUAAAUGUAAAUUUAAAUUUUAUUAUUAAAAGCUAAAUCUUUAAAGUAAAAAAAUUUGGCGGUAUUUUAGUCUUUUCAGAGGAACCUGUUUUUUAAACGAUAAUCCACGAUUUUUUGUACUUGAAUUUUUAAUUUGUAUAUCGUCGUGUUAUAAGAUUUUUAUAGAAGAAAAAUUUUAUUAUUUUUAAUUAAAAUUUAUAUCAGAUCAAGGUGCAGUUUAUAUUUAAGUUUUAAUGGGUUACAAUAAAUUUAUUUAGACGGACAUAUUAAUUAAUAUUAAUUUUUAAGGUGGAUUUGAAAGUAAUAAUAUUUAUUUAAUAUUAUGAUUUAGCUCUAAAAUAUGCACAUAUUGCCCGUCACUUUCAAUGAUAUGAAAUAAGUCGUAACAAAGUAGUCUUACUGGAAAGUGUGUCUAGCUAGA